This 288-nucleotide small nuclear RNA is filed under the name Erinaceus europaeus (western European hedgehog). RNAcentral's name for it is "7SK RNA (ENSEEUG00000022866.1)". It matches the Rfam family "7SK RNA". Rfam says of the family: 7SK was discovered as an abundant small nuclear RNA in the mid-70s but a possible function has only recently been suggested. Two independent studies have found that 7SK RNA binds the CDK9/cyclin T complex (known as elongation factor P-TEFb). P-TEFb activates transcription by phosphorylating the C-terminal domain of RNA polymerase II. The record is from Rfam by way of RNAcentral. Lineage: Eukaryota; Metazoa; Chordata; Mammalia; Eulipotyphla; Erinaceidae.
GGGCGUGAGGGUGAUCUGUUACCCCACCAAUUGCCACGAUUGAUUUAGCUGAUCUGGCUGGAUAGGCAGGUGUCUCCUUCCUCCCUCAGCACCUUAUCCCGAAGCUCAGUGGGGAGAGGACAACCUUCCCAGACAGAGAUGCACCCGUUGCUCUUCGGUCCAGAGUAUAGGAGUAGCUGUGCUCCCCUGCUAGAACCUCAAAGCAAGCUCUCUAUCAGUUGGCAUGGUUAUCCGGAAAGCUGUGCUAAGGAUUCUGAAGUCUUACUUGAACAUUCAAGGAAAGAAUUC